AGAUUGAACGCUGGCGGCAUGCCUAACACAUGCAAGUCGAACGGCAGCACAGGGUAGCUUGCUAUCCGGGUGGCGAGUGGCGGACGGGUGAGUAACGCGUAGGAAUCUACCUUUUCGUGGGGGAUAACCCGGGGAAACUCGGGCUAAUACCGCAUACGCCCUACGGGGGAAAGCGGGGGACCUUCGGGCCUCGCGCGGAACGAUGAGCCUGCGUCCUAUCAGGUAGUUGGUGAGGUAAUGGCUCACCAAGCCGACGACGGGUAGCUGGUCUGAGAGGACGACCAGCCACACUGGGACUGAGACACGGCCCAGACUCCUACGGGAGGCAGCAGUGGGAAUAUGGACAAUGGGGGAAACCCUGAUCCAGCAAUACCGCGUGUGUGAAGAAGGCCUUCGGGUUGUAAAGCAACUUUUAGCUAAGGAAAGAAAGGACUGUGCGACUAAGUACCG
Molecule: ribosomal RNA, 450 nt
Filed under: uncultured soil bacterium
Lineage: Bacteria
Description: bacterial SSU rRNA
Rfam family: Bacterial small subunit ribosomal RNA
Source: RNAcentral